RNAcentral lists this ribosomal RNA (253 nucleotides) under uncultured bacterium. Its description in RNAcentral is "partial 16S ribosomal RNA". It matches the Rfam family "Bacterial small subunit ribosomal RNA", at positions 524 to 776 of the family's 1533-position model. The record is from RNAcentral.
UACGUAGGGUGCGAGCGUUAAUCGGAAUUACUGGGCGUAAAGCGUGCGCAGGCGGUGAGCUGUGUCCGAUGUGAAAGCCCCGGGCUUAACCUGGGAAUGGCAUUGGAAACUGGCUCGCUGGAGUGUGGCAGAGGGGGGUGGAAUUCCGCGUGUAGCAGUGAAAUGCGUAGAGAUGCGGAGGAACACCGAUGGCGAAGGCAGCCCCCUGGGCUAACACUGACGCCGAUGAGCGAAAGCCAGGGGAGCAAACGGG